AAAGCAUUUGCAACAUGUUUUCUUCCAGUAGUUAUAACAUGUUAAAUUACAGUAAAAUUCCUAAUAAAUGCCAUUCCACUAAAGACCCCCAGGCUUUUUGAUAUGGACAAAAUCUACUCAUCAGUGCUGAACUCAAGAGUAGAUCCAUAAUUUAUUCGAAUCAUUCUAAAUCCAUUUUAUUUUAUAGUAAACACAAAAAUAUAUCAUAUGAACUUUAAAACCUUCACACUUUUUAUUGUUAUCGUAAUUACGAAAAAAUGUUUGGAGGGAACUUGUUGCAAUAAUAGCCCCCUUUUGGAAAAUGUUUAGCCCCUAAGGGCAAUUAAUAGGAAUUUAACUGUAAGUCAAACAAAACUACAAGGGUUUUUUUGUCACAAAAACAAAUGUCUCCAAUGUAUGUACUCUAAGGAUGAAAUUAACAGCAGCAUGUAAAUUCAAACAGAGGUUUGACCUGUGAAAAUCAGACAAUAUUUUUUUCUAUUUUUUAGCACCGGUGGCCAUUUUGUGCAGUGAAGCAGAAUUGCAGGCGAUAUACACAACGGUUGGUACUGAUCUCUCGUGUGAAAAUUCCUCAAACUCCCUGCUGCAAUUUGACCUGUGCAAGUCUGACAAAAAAUUUCUAUUUUUAGCUCUGGCAGCUAUUUUGUGUUGCGAAGCUGAUAUGUCGGCCAAAUGCACAACUAGGGUUGGUACAGUUCACUUCAGUUUAGUUUCGUCAAAACCUCCUGCAGUUUGACCUGUUAAAGCUGAACAAGGUUUUCUAUUCUUAGCUCUGGUGUCCAAUUUUUGCAGUGAGGCAAUAUGCACAACUAGGGUUGGUACUGAUCACUCUUGUGAGUUUUGUUGAAAUCCCACCAGCCAGAUAAGUUUAAUGUGGAUGGACGGACAGUGAAGGCAAAACUGGCAGACAUUAUGCUAAGCUAUUACAAAAAUAUCUCUAUUUCAAAUGAGAUAAGUAAGCCGAGAAAAAUUAUAUAUUUACAUUUAAGAAUAUUAAGAUUUAUUCUGUAGCACUAGUAGAAUGGUAAUUACUGCUUGGCACAUGCUACAUUAGUACACAACAGAACCUAGUUUACUGAUGUAGGCCACCAGCCAAUAACAUAAAUACAAUCUUUAUAAACCAAACAUACAAUACAGUGUUUGGAUAAAUUUAAAUCUAUGCAUAAUAACAAUUAUCAAAAUUGUUGAAAAUACAAUGAUGAUAGAUUACAACAAAUGUAUAUAUAUGUAUAUAUAUGAAAUUUUCAAAUCUAUAACUGAAUUAUAAUCUUUUCUUUUUUCUUUUUUUUUAAUGUUGCAUGGAAUAUAUACAUUGCUAAAAUUUUGAACAGUUUUAUAUUUAUAGGAUAUCAAGAUAUUUAAUUUAUUAGCUGUGACAUCAAUAUAAUAUUUUCUGGCAAUAUAAUAACAAGAGGGCCAUGAUGGCCCUGAAGUCGCUCACCUGUAUAUAGGCCCCCCGGAGCGGGGCAAGUUUAAACCCAAGGGCCUUUAUUUGAAUAAACUUGGUAGACACCCAUUAGAAGAUGUUUCAUGCUAAACAUCUAAGGUCUAGCUUGUUGGGUUUUUAAAAAAAAGAUUUUUUAAGUUUUUUCUUUACACAUAUACUAGUAUUUAAAAACAAUGACACUCCUGGGGCAGGGCCAGUUUUGACCCCAGGGCUUUUAUUUGAACAAUCUUUGUAGACAUUUACUAGAAGAUGUUUCAUGCUUAAUAUCUAAACUCUAGCUAUUCGGGUUAUUUCCAAGAAGAUUUUAAAGUUUUGCUAUACACAUAUAAGGAAAAUGAAUGUCCCCCUGGGCGGGGCCUAUUUUGACCCCAGGGCUCUUAGUUGAACAAACUUGGUAGACAUCCAUUAGAACAUGUUUCAUGCUAAAUAUCUUAGCUCUAGCUCUUUGGGUUCUUUAAAAGAAGAUUUUUAAGUUUUUACUAUAUUCAUAUAGGGAAAAUCAAUGACCCCCUGGGGCGGG
Ruditapes philippinarum (Manila clam) is the source of this 1967-nucleotide long non-coding RNA. RefSeq lists it as uncharacterized. The transcript is spliced from 2 exons. NCBI's taxonomy places the organism in Eukaryota, Metazoa, Mollusca, Bivalvia, Venerida, Veneridae. The record is from RefSeq and is a predicted model, not a curated record.